Molecule: unclassified non-coding RNA, 236 nt
Filed under: uncultured fungus
Lineage: Eukaryota; Fungi
Description: sequence contains ITS1, 5.8S rRNA gene
Rfam family: 5.8S ribosomal RNA (bases 188-236)
Source: RNAcentral
UUUCCGUAGGUGAACCUGCGGAAGGAUCAUUACCGUUUGCUUGCGGCUGCCCCUCGGGGCGGCUCGUAACGCUCACCCUUUGCCCUUUUCGAACCUGUUCGUUCCCCCUCGCCGGGCUCGCCUGGCGGGGGUCCAUUCAAAAACCUUGUAGUUUACAGCAGUUUCUGUCUGAAUAUAUCAAUGUUAAAACUUUCAACAAUGGAUCUCUUGGUUCUGGCAUCGAUGAAGAACGCAGC